UGAAGGCCGAGGCUUUAACCCACUGAGCCACCCAGGCGCCCCGCUGGAAGGAAAAUUUAAAUAGAGUUGUGAUUCCCAACCUGCCACCAGCUCACUGGGUGGUCCUCCGCAAGUCACCUUUCUCUGGGCUUGGUGGGCUCCCACUGAUCCUUGGCUGGAAGGCCAGAAAUAGAGAAUCCACAGAGAUUCAGCUGAAGCCCUCACUACUUUGGACCGGGACCCUCAACUCUAGUAAUAAUGUGCACAUCUGAGACCUUUUGUGUGUCUAACUGUUUUGAGUUGCCAUCCUGCCCAUGGCUGGGAGUGACUGCACCAGUUUACAUUUGCAAUGACUGGACACCCGGGUUCUCUCUUCUCCACAUCCUUGCCAACGCUUGUUUUUUUUUUUUCUUGUCUUUUUGAUACUAGCCAUUC
This is a long non-coding RNA of Neogale vison (American mink), 414 nucleotides long. RefSeq lists it as uncharacterized. The record is from RefSeq and is a predicted model, not a curated record. NCBI's taxonomy places the organism in Eukaryota, Metazoa, Chordata, Mammalia, Carnivora, Mustelidae. The transcript is spliced from 3 exons.